GCAGCAAUGACCGAGUGGUUAAGGUGGCAGACUUAAGUAUACGGAAUCUAGCGUGCAUUCUUGACCUCUGCUGGCGCAAGCCGCGCAGGUUCGAACCCUGCUUGCUGCA
This is a non-coding RNA of Xylariaceae sp. FL0255, 109 nucleotides long. Lineage: Eukaryota; Fungi; Ascomycota; Sordariomycetes; Xylariales; Xylariaceae. The record is from the annotation of a GenBank genome assembly.